RNAcentral lists this ribosomal RNA (372 nucleotides) under uncultured bacterium. RNAcentral's name for it is "bacterial SSU rRNA". It matches the Rfam family "Bacterial small subunit ribosomal RNA", at positions 524 to 898 of the family's 1533-position model. The record is from RNAcentral.
UACGGAGGGUGCAAGCGUUAUCCGGAUUUACUGGGUUUAAAGGGUGCGUAGGCGGGCCUGUAAGUCAGUGGUGAAAUCUUCCCGCUUAACGGGAAAACUGCCAUUGAUACUAUAGGUCUUGAAUUCAGUUGAGGUGGGCGGAAUGUGUCGUGUAGCGGUGAAAUGCUUAGAUAUGACACAGAACACCGAUUGCGAAGGCAGCUCGCUAAACUGACAUUGACGCUGAGGCACGAAAGCGUGGGGAUCAAACAGGAUUAGAUACCCUGGUAGUCCACGCCCUAAACGAUGAUUACUCGAUCUGUGCGAUACACUGUACGGGUCUAUGCAAAAGCAUUAAGUAAUCCACCUGGGGAGUACGACCGCAAGGUUGAA